RNAcentral lists this ribosomal RNA (447 nucleotides) under uncultured bacterium. RNAcentral describes it as "partial 16S ribosomal RNA". It matches the Rfam family "Bacterial small subunit ribosomal RNA", at positions 331 to 794 of the family's 1533-position model. The record is from RNAcentral.
CCAGACUCCUACGGGAGGCAGCAGUGGGGGAUAUUGCACAAUGGGGGGAACCCUGAUGCAGCGACGCCGCGUGGAGGAAGAAGUAUCUCGGUAUGUAAACUCCUAUCAGCAGGGAAGAAAGAAGACGGUACCUGACUAAGAAGCCCCGGCUAACUACGUGCCAGCAGCCGCGGUAAUACGUAGGGGGCGAGCGUUAUCCGGAUUCACUGGGUGUAAAGGGAGCGUAGACGGCGACGCAAGUCUGGAGUGAAAGCCCGGGGCCCAACCCCGGGACUGCUCUGGAAACUGCGGCGCUGGAGUACGGGAGGGGCAGGCGGAAUUCCUGGUGUAGCGGUGAAAUGCGUAGAUAUCAGGAGGAACACCGGUGGCGAAGGCGACUUUCUGGACUGUAACUGACGCUGAGGCACGAAAGUGUGGGGAGCAAACAGGAUUAGAUACCCUUGUAGC